RNAcentral lists this ribosomal RNA (430 nucleotides) under uncultured Bacteroides sp. Its description in RNAcentral is "bacterial SSU rRNA". It matches the Rfam family "Bacterial small subunit ribosomal RNA", at positions 28 to 448 of the family's 1533-position model. Lineage: Bacteria; Pseudomonadati; Bacteroidota; Bacteroidia; Bacteroidales; Bacteroidaceae. The record is from RNAcentral.
GAUGAACGCUAGCUACAGGCUUAACACAUGCAAGUCGAGGGGCAGCAUGGUCUUAGCUUGCUAAGGCUGAUGGCGACCGGCGCACGGGUGAGUAACACGUAUCCAACCUGCCGUCUACUCUUGGACAGCCUUCUGAAAGGAAGAUUAAUACAAGAUGGCAUCAUGAGUCCGCAUGUUCACAUGAUUAAAGGUAUUCCGGUAGACGAUGGGGAUGCGUUCCAUUAGAUAGUAGGCGGGGUAACGGACCACCUAGUCUUCGAUGGAUAGGGGUUCUGAGAGGAAGGUCCCCCACAUUGGAACUGAGACACGGUCCAAACUCCUACGGGAGGCAGCAGUGAGGAAUAUUGGUCAAUGGGCGAGAGCCUGAACCAGCCAAGUAGCGUGAAGGAUGACUGCCCUAUGGGUUGUAAACUUCUUUUAUAAAGGAAUA